Molecule: long non-coding RNA, 1215 nt
Filed under: Struthio camelus australis
Lineage: Eukaryota; Metazoa; Chordata; Aves; Struthioniformes; Struthionidae
Description: lncRNA (ENSSCUG00000010973.1)
Source: RNAcentral
CCCCCCCCGGAGGAACCGCGUUCCCCAGGGAGCUUGCCGCCACGGAGGCGGUUUGCUCUUGAAACGUUGCCCUUGAGGAGCGGUACGGCCUCCAGCGAGGCAACCGGGGCUGCCAGCUUCCUUGGAGAGGUGGCGUUGGAUCACAUUGCCUGGGGCCUCGGGCCAUGUCAGGGUCCUCCGUGGGGGUCUCCAUUGAAGUCCGUCUCAGUAGCUUUGAAACGCCACGAGAUAAUAGGUCCAGAAAGGAUUUCAGCCCCACGCAGGCUGACCAAGGGAAGCAGACUUCUGCUCACUGAUUCCUCUGAAAUAGUAUGGUGUGAUGUGGGUGCUUGAACGUGAACCUCAAGGAGAGGGCCUCCAAAGACUGGUCAGGGGUUCUUCCUUACAAGCAGAGGACAGCACUGCUUAGAUGUUGUGGAGCUGAUGGCUGAAGCACGGGUGCCACCUCUGCCUCUGCUUUAACAGGGUGCUCCCCUGCUGAGGCUCUAAACACAGUGACUGCCACUUCCCACAUCACUCGCCUCCAGCUGCCCUGUGCCUGUCCUCUGCUGGCCCCACUUUGCAUGUGCUGGGGCUCUGACCUGACCCCGGAGAGCACAGAUGUCUCCUUAAUUGUUUUUCUCACCCCUUCCCUUCUUUGUCAGGUGCUGAUGACUCAGGAGAUCAUUUCGAAGAAGCUACUUUUACAACCACCACAUUGGCCCCAACCCGUCCCAAGGACGAUGGCGUGGAAGGACCUGGCCUGCCCCCUUUGCAGCACGAGCCUCGACGUCUGCGAUGAAGCAGAGUUUGCGACUUCUGGGAAAGCGCUGAAACGGUCUUUUUAUUUGUUGUUUAAUGGGUGUGAGGGAGGGGAAGGACACGGAGCGGGUCCCGGCUGCUCGCUCGUCCACGCUUGCGCCGGCGUUUGUACAAUUCUUUUGUUAAUAAUAGCUUGUGCAUAUUCUAGGUUUUCCACUUUUCUUACACGUUUUGGGGGUUGUUUUGUGAAUAAAUAAAAGCCCGUUUAAAGUGUGCUGAGAACUGGCGCGCUUGUUUCUCUAUAAACGCCUCGAAGGCGCCGCAAAGGCAAACAGAUGAGGAACGGGUGGAGCCCCAAGCCGAGAGAGGGGGGCUCAGUUAUGGCUGGGUGCUGUCGGCGCAAAGCCCUCGCGCGUCCCCGUCUCCCGGCCGGGAGCAGAGCUCGGACCCCGGUUCCAGGCCUGGUCUCCUCCG